GGAAGGGAAUCGUGCCUGGUGGCACGGCCGGAUUUCAAAUCCGGUUGGGGGCGUCAGCCGCUCCCGGGUGGGUUCGACUCCCGCUCCCUUCCGCCA
Molecule: transfer RNA, 96 nt
Filed under: Thiobacillus sp.
Lineage: Bacteria; Pseudomonadati; Pseudomonadota; Betaproteobacteria; Nitrosomonadales; Thiobacillaceae
Also listed under: 3 other names
Description: tRNA-Sec
Rfam family: Selenocysteine transfer RNA
Source: RNAcentral